UUUCACUUCAUGAGAAAAUUCUCUAAGCAUUCAUUGGAGUUCAUUUUCAUACAUAUUUAUGGUCUUUCAAUCCAUAUACAUAAGGUCCAAAAGUCAUUUAAUAUUGUAUUUACAUUUACAUGACUUCGCUUUACAUCACUUUAUGUGAUUACAAGCAUACUACUUAGUUUCCAUACACAAAAGAAUAAAAAUAACUUCAAGCUCUUUAAUAGUCUUCAUUCAUACUCCAUUCUUGACCAUACUUG
This 245-nucleotide long non-coding RNA is filed under the name Lathyrus oleraceus (garden pea). Its description in RNAcentral is "Pisum sativum (pea) long non-coding RNA (PSAT_LNC028566)". Lineage: Eukaryota; Viridiplantae; Streptophyta; Magnoliopsida; Fabales; Fabaceae. The record is from RNAcentral.